GGGGAUUUAGCUCAGUGGUAGAGCACUUGCCUAGCAAGCACAAGGCCCUGGUUUCAGUCCUCAGUUCCCC
Molecule: non-coding RNA, 70 nt
Organism: Rattus norvegicus (Norway rat)
Lineage: Eukaryota; Metazoa; Chordata; Mammalia; Rodentia; Muridae
Source: Rfam